GGGGAUUUAGCUCAGUGGCAUGAGUGUCUGCUUUGCAAGCAGGCAGUCCUGAGUUCGAUCCCCG
Cavia porcellus (domestic guinea pig) is the source of this 64-nucleotide transfer RNA. It matches the Rfam family "tRNA". From Rfam's summary of the family: Transfer RNA (tRNA) molecules are approximately 80 nucleotides in length. Their secondary structure includes four short double-helical elements and three loops (D, anti-codon, and T loops). Further hydrogen bonds mediate the characteristic L-shaped molecular structure. tRNAs have two regions of fundamental functional importance: the anti-codon, which is responsible for specific mRNA codon recognition, and the 3' end, to which the tRNAs corresponding amino acid is attached (by aminoacyl-tRNA synthetases). tRNAs cope with the degeneracy of the genetic code in two manners: having more than one tRNA (with a specific anti-codon) for a particular amino acid; and 'wobble' base-pairing, i.e. permitting non-standard base-pairing at the 3rd anti-codon position. The record is from Rfam. NCBI's taxonomy places the organism in Eukaryota, Metazoa, Chordata, Mammalia, Rodentia, Caviidae.